AUUCUAGAAAGGACAAUUUUAUUAACCAAUUUAAAUUUAAUUUUGAUGAAAAGCUCAAAAUGUAAUUUUAAGACGAUAAGACCCUAUGAAGCUUAAUUACCACUAAUUUUUUUGGGGAAAAACUUAAUUUUUUUAUUAAAAAUUAGGCUCAUAUUGAUCUUGCUGAAUUACAAGAAAAAGCUACUCUAGGGAUAACAGCAUAAUUUUUAUUAAAGUUCGUAUUGAAAUGAAAGAUUGUGACCUCGAUGUUGAAUUAAGAAAACUAAUUUGUGCAGCCGCUAAUUAGAGAUAGUCUGUUCGACUAUACUAUCUUACAUGAUCUGAGUUCAAACCGGA
RNAcentral lists this ribosomal RNA (336 nucleotides) under Hemidiaptomus ignatovi. Its description in RNAcentral is "partial 16S ribosomal RNA". The stretch from base 72 to 336 matches the Rfam family "Bacterial large subunit ribosomal RNA", at positions 2079 to 2620 of the family's 2925-position model. Lineage: Eukaryota; Metazoa; Arthropoda; Copepoda; Calanoida; Diaptomidae. The record is from RNAcentral.